AUGCGUACUGCGGUUAAUAGUAUCCACCUCGUCGAGAGGAGUGAUCGUGUAUUCUGGGGACUUAACCAGAAUGGCAAGUUCACCAACAAAUCGGUGUAUAAGAUGUUGGAGGAACCCCUUAGUGGUUGCCACUAUAGAUGGAUUUGGAAAGCCAAAAUCCCUCUUAAAAUCAAAAUCUUCCUAUGGCAGAUGUCGCAAGAUGCGAUUCUCACUAGGCAUGUCAUGAGGAAAAAGAAAUGGCCAGGUAACCCCUGUUGCUCCUUUUGCAAACAGGUUGAAACGAUGCAACACCUAUUUUUCAAUUGCCCUGUAGCUAGAAUUGUAUGGCGGUUGAUUGGAGUUGCUUUUGGUACUGAUAGAUGUCCGUCGAAUUACUAG
This 378-nucleotide ribosomal RNA is filed under the name Triticum aestivum (bread wheat). RNAcentral's name for it is "partial small subunit ribosomal RNA". Lineage: Eukaryota; Viridiplantae; Streptophyta; Magnoliopsida; Poales; Poaceae. The record is from RNAcentral.